GUACACUCCUACGGGAGGCAGCAGUGGGGAAUUUUGGACAAUGGGCGAAAGCCUGAUCCAGCAAUGCCGCGUGUGUGAAGAAGGCCUUCGGGUUGUAAAGCACUUUUGUCCGGAAAGAAAUCCUUGGCUCUAAUACAGUCGGGGGAUGACGGUACCGGAAGAAUAAGCACCGGCUAACUACGUGCCAGCAGCCGCGGUAAUACGUAGGGUGCGAGCGUUAAUCGGAAUUACUGGGCGUAAAGCGUGCGCAGGCGGUUUGCUAAGACCGAUGUGAAAUCCCCGGGCUCAACCUGGGAACUGCAUUGGUGACUGGCAGGCUAGAGUAUGGCAGAGGGGGGUAGAAUUCCACGUGUAGCAGUGAAAUGCGUAGAGAUGUGGAGGAAUACCGAUGGCGAAGGCAGCCCCCUGGGCCAAUACUGACGUUCAUGCACGAAAGCGUGGGGAGCAAACAGGAUUAGAUACCCUAGUAGUCCC
Molecule: ribosomal RNA, 474 nt
Filed under: uncultured organism
Description: partial 16S ribosomal RNA
Rfam family: Bacterial small subunit ribosomal RNA
Source: RNAcentral